CGGAGGGUGCAAGCGUUAUCCGGAUUCACUGGGUUUAAAGGGUGCGUAGGUGGGCAAGUAAGUCAGUGGUGAAAUCUCCGGGCUUAACCCGGAAACUGCCAUUGAUACUAUUUGUCUUGAAUACUGUGGAGGUCAGCGGAAUAUGUCAUGUAGCGGUGAAAUGCUUAGAUAUGACAUAGAACACCAAUUGCGAAGGCAGCUGGCUACACAAUUAUUGACACUGAGGCACGAAAGCGUGGGGAUCAAACAGGAUUAGAUACCCUGGUAGUCCACGCCCUAAACUAUGGAUACUCGACAUUUGCGAUAAACUGCAAGUGUCUCGAGCGAAAGCAUUAAGUAUCCCACCUGGGAAUACGAUCGCAAGAUUG
Molecule: ribosomal RNA, 368 nt
Filed under: uncultured organism
Description: bacterial SSU rRNA
Rfam family: Bacterial small subunit ribosomal RNA
Source: RNAcentral